This 2648-nucleotide long non-coding RNA is filed under the name Gallus gallus (chicken). The record is from RNAcentral. Lineage: Eukaryota; Metazoa; Chordata; Aves; Galliformes; Phasianidae.
CUGAAUAAUGCAGACCAUUCAGCGAAGUUUCAUUCCCCGCCUGGGUCAGUUUCUAGCCCUACAGCUGGGAGCUCUCAGUUAUUACUUCGCAAAGCGCUGAACGAUAACGGCUCACAAAUACAGCCCCGACCCGAACGUACCCCAGGUUGAUGCGCUCUACGUCCGGAGCGAUGCGCGGAGGGACGGCGGUGAAGUAGCGGAAGGUGCAGUGCACCUCGGCGGGGCCGUAGCAGGCGCAGAGGCGGGGGCACACGGCGGCCAGGCGGGCGGCCAGGCAGGCGGCGAGCAGCGGCCGCAGCCAACGGCGGCACGGGGCGCCCAUCGUGCGGGAACCGCUGCGGCGCGGCCGUCACGGCGCGGGGAGCGGCGGGGCUCUGCACGGGAAGCAAAGCCGGCGUUCGGAGCGCCGGCCGUGCCGGGCCGCUCCCGUUGACGAAGCUUCGCAGCUUCAAAGAAAAGCCGGGCCGCCGGGCUGAGCCGAAGCUCUCGGUUCUGCUCUCGGUUCUGCCCUCGGGUUUCGGAUCGCUGAAAUGAAACGCGUCGUUCUGAGAAGUGGCCGCACGCCCUUCGUCCGAGGGAGCCGCGCACCCGGCGCCGCUGCUUGCAGGUGCCACCUCGAUGGCCAGGAGGAACAUGAGAGCGCGCUGCCCCAUCCUCCAGGUGCUGCUUCUCUGACUGCUUGUUGCUGGCCAAAUUCUUCCAGUAUCUUCUGUGCCAAUUCACUGUGUGGUUCCAGAUCACGUGUCUUGUUGUUCAGAACUGGACUGUCUUACCGUUUACUUAAGUAUGGAAGUAAUCCCAAGCAAAACAAAAUAAAUGGUAAAGCAGCAUGCCAGCUGCUUUAGGAAUAUGUUGUUCUAAACUCAUGUUGGAAAAGGAAAGCCCACAGAGAGGUUUGAUGUCCAAAUCUAUCCAAGAAUUGAGCUUGCUGUGGAGCAAUGGCUUCCCAGGGCACAAGGCUGCCCACUGCCUCAUUCUUCUGCAGCAGUCAGGCGGGAGGAAUGGGAACCUGCCCAGAGCAUCAGCUGACACAUGGCCGGCAAUGGGCUGAGCCGCCGCUCCGCUCCCAGAGCCCUCUGCUUGCACCAGAAAUGAUUUCCCCUGAAAAGGUUAUGGCUUCUGCUCUAAUUUACGUGUGGAAAGGCCCGAAGAUGUGAUGUGAAGCAAUCACAUCUGCCAGAGCUUUUGAAGGCUGAAACAACAACACUUUGAUAAGAGAACAGCCGGUCUGCAUCUGCAGCAGUAUGAAGUGCAGUGCCUGAGUGAGUCCCUGCCGGACCCGCGCCGGGGGAGCAGCUGUACACAAACAGCCCCAUUUGUAAGGAAACCACCGCUGGGCCACCGUCCCAUGACAGGGCUGUAAGCACGAGGUUAUGCAAUGCUUUCUGUAAGGUGCUUUUAGUUCCUCAGCUUACCUCAGCCUACCCUUGCAUGCUCCAGACUGGAUCUCCAGUAUCAGCAUCUCUUAUGCAGUGGAGCGCACCAACUGCACUGUGCAGGUAAAUGCAGAUCUCUGCUCCUGAGGCCAAGUGCUGAAGAAACAGAGUAAGCCGUGCUUGAAAGGUCGUGAAGAACAUUUGGGUGGAAUGUUUGGUGAAUUCAGGUUCUUAGGCAUGAAGGGAAAGUUCAGCUCACAGGGUACAUACUCUCCACAAGGCUUUAGGUAGUCCUACCAUAUUUUCCAAAGCAAAUACUGCAGAUUUGAGACGUGACCACAAUACCUCCAGGAUCAGAACCACAGAGAACGCCGGCAUCUGCAGGAAGCUCGUGCUUUAACCAGUUUCUUUAAGCGAGCUUUAAAGCUUUUUCUCUAGACUGAAAUAGAGGUUGCAAGCAGAGCAGCUAACAGAAGCAUCACAAGGCUCUGGUAAGGGCUGGCUCAGGGCGUUGUUGGACAGCCUUGAAACCAAUCUCAGGCUCUGAGAGCACCGCGGUGUGAAUCUGCAAAAUAGCACACUGAGGUACAGUUCUUCUGCGGCUCAAGGCCGUGGUCAGGCACUUCAGUUUUGUUGUGAUGGACUGGACAGGCUUUCAGCAAAGCAUCCAUUGAUUCUGCAAACACAGUCGGUGUUUUUAAAUUGCUCGUGUAUUUGCACAGAUAACACAGGAACUGUAAGUCACAUCUGCUUUGUACAGUGUUGAGCUCCGUGUAGCCUGCAAGAACCCAGGCAACGUGACCGAGGAGUUUAUGUAUCAAGGAUUGGGUUUUUCUCAUUCACGUGAGUAAACACAUUCAGGUAUGCAGUCCGAAUGCUGAAUGCUGCUAAUGCUUAAAUAAAUACUUCUAUUAACGUGGAGAGAGCCAGCAGCGGGUCAUGGGAAAACAGAUCCCGCUCCCAUUUCCCAGGAGCAAAAUCCUGUGACAAUAAUCCUGUCGCAGUUCACUUUCAGUCCUAUUUAAGUUAAUGGUCUUGUUAACUCUCAGAAUCUCGGGGCUGACUUCACAGUGCACCUCGGGUUGACUGGUCCCCCUUCCACUCCUGCUCCUUCUCCAUGGCAUAAUGGCACUGAUAUCUCAGUGGCUCAAGGGGACGCUACCAGAUCUGGCUGCUUUAAUUCCCAUUUCUAUUCCAGCAGUGCUGGCUGUAAAAUGGCCACAAAAUUAAAACUUAAUCAAUGUAAAACAUUAUACUCACGUUACUUUCUCC